GACGAACGCUGGCGGCGUGCUUAACACAUGCAAGUCGAACGGAAAGGCUCUGCUUUUGUGGGGUGCUCGAGUGGCGAACGGGUGAGUAACGCGUGAGUAACCUGCCCUUGACUUUGGGAUAACUUCAGGAAACUGGGGCUAAUACCGGAUAGGAGCUCCUGCUGCAUGGUGGGGGUUGGAAAGUUUCGGCGGUUGGGGAUGGACUCGCGGCUUAUCAGCUUGUUGGUGGGGUAGUGGCUUACCAAGGCUUUGACGGGUAGCCGGCCUGAGAGGGUGACCGGCCACAUUGGGACUGAGAUACGGCCCAGACUCCUACGGGAGGCAGCAGUGGGGAAUAUUGCACAAUGGGCGGAAGCCUGAUGCAGCAACGCCGCGUGCGGGAUGACGGCCUUCGGGUUGUAAACCGCUUUCGCCUGUGACGAAGCUUGAGUGACGGUAAUGGGUAAAGAAGCACCGGCUAACUACGUG
Molecule: ribosomal RNA, 468 nt
Filed under: uncultured bacterium
Lineage: Bacteria
Description: partial 16S ribosomal RNA
Rfam family: Bacterial small subunit ribosomal RNA
Source: RNAcentral